AAAGCAUGCAUCAGCCACAUCCAUGCUAUCUCCUAAAGCAGUCAUUCUGAAACCCAAUCUGGGGACAGUGCAGACUAAAUAAAAUUUCAUUUUGAUUUGGCCUCCCGCUGCGAAUGGGACUGCUUUGUCUCAGCCGACAGAACCAGCAAGCCAGAAAGAUUGAAGAACAAAAUGAAAGUUAGUUAAAGAAGACGUUGAAGAAACAAUAGUGUGAAAACAGCACGAAAUGUCAUUUGGUAAAUAUGCCACAGCCUCACAUAAGGAAGAGGAAAAUGGCAGUGUGGGCCAUGAUUGGCAGGUCUGGAUCCAUAGACUGUGAUUUCCAGGAUCACCCAACAGGAAUGAAGACAUUUGGAGAAGAAGCGUUUACUGAAAGGAGAUUCCUGGGCUGGAGGAAAACCAUGAUCUACAGUUCAUGUUGACAGAUAUUGUAUUUUUGGUCCUAGAUCUGACUUUUGAAAUGACUUAUCACAAAUUCAAAUUUAGCAAUCAUGAGUGAAGUACCCACGAUGUGCUAAGCAUCUACCUCUGCAGAUAGAAGAACACUUACUGUUCCUGAGCAUGGGAGGGAAUAGAAG
Molecule: long non-coding RNA, 578 nt
Filed under: Homo sapiens (human)
Lineage: Eukaryota; Metazoa; Chordata; Mammalia; Primates; Hominidae
Description: non-protein coding LINC01102:8
Source: RNAcentral